This is a long non-coding RNA of Sardina pilchardus (European sardine), 960 nucleotides long. RefSeq lists it as uncharacterized. The transcript is spliced from 6 exons. NCBI's taxonomy places the organism in Eukaryota, Metazoa, Chordata, Actinopteri, Clupeiformes, Clupeidae. The record is from RefSeq and is a predicted model, not a curated record.
UACAUUUCAGAAACAUUGAUAAUCAUUGUUUUAGUCUAACAAGUCAUGAAACAAACUUUUGCCAGCAGCCGGUCCGGUAACAUGAUAAAACACCGUAUUGUAUCACGACCACCUGCACAUGGAUGCAUCGGAGCAUGGACCAAGAGCGAGCUCAAUCUUUUAAGAGAACGGUGAGUGCGUCACAUAGAAUUGUAUGCCGUUAUCUUCCAACCGUACAACUUCAGCCACUUACGUUAGCCCAGCCAGUCCAAGAUUCCUAUGAAAAGGCUCGAAGGAGGCUUGUGAAGUUCUGCAAAGGCAAAGGUUUGGAGUCGACACGAGGACAGUGUGCGGAAAAGUACUAUCGUCGAAAUAUGUUGAAUUUGGGCCUACAUCAGCCCCUCCAUCUGCAGUCUCAGGAAGACCUCCAGUGCAGGCCUCAACAAGCAGGCUCCACACAGGUAAACAGCACAGAUGAAAACAUACAGUGGUAUAGCGUGUACUGAUUCUGUUUCUUACUGUUCCAUAUGCAGAGACAAUGGAAAGACCCAAAAACUGAUUCUGCAGUAAUGGAGCAAAAUGCCAGACCUGGCCAGCCAUACCACCAUUUCCAUUAUGAACACCUGCAGUGACAGUUCCAGAUCUGACAGUACUAACACUACAUAGGAUUCUGAUGUAUCAGAUGAUGGGGUUGUCCCCCAAAAGAUGUUCGAGAACAUCAAAAGGGCGUACCAGGAAUUAAAAAACAAAAACAAAAAAAUAUCCGCUGAAAAUGAAGACCUCAAACAAAGAUACAAAGAUUUGGAAAUGCAAAACACAAAAACAACAAAAGAAAGGGAUGGUUUCCGUGCAGCCAUAGAGGCAAUUAACAGGAACACUGCACGAGUGUUGGGAGGUCAUCCUAUAGCCCAAUCAGAGUCGCAAAUCAUGGCUGAUGCAGUCUGCCCAGGACCACCUCCCUGCUCUGAUGGCAAGGUACAU